UGAAAUGUCAUUUGGACCUAUUGGACUCAUUUUAAUUCGGCCAAAUACAUAGUAACAUACAUAAGAAGAUUUUACUUAUAUUUACCGAACUAUUUGACACGGUCGCGUGAACUUUGUUUACGAGUGUCUUGUGUUCAGAUUGUUUUAAGUGAUAAUUUAACAAUAUUUUUCCAAAUAAAUGGAAAGAAACUUUUAUUUAUAUCAAAUAAUUGAGUGUCUCGACUCUGUGACAUUAUGUCUUGUGUGGUAUGGGGCUGCAGCUCACAUUCAGGAAGAAAAGAAAAUAGCCAACAACUUCUGUCGUUUCAUCGAUAUUAAAUCCAAAAGUGUCGACUGGAUUUACAUGAAAAGUCAGUUCAAGAAGACGAGAUGAAAAAUUUAAAAGAAAAGCUGAACAAGUCACGCCUCAAGAUCAAACGACUUAAUGAAAAAAAAAAAUCAAUGUGACAGGGUGUCACAAAGACAGUUUCUAAACAAAUUGACACUGUUUAGAAAUUAAUAAAUUUGUAUUUAUUGUAAAUAUAAUGUACAUAAUUAAUAACGUGUAUAAUAAAUACUUGCUAAUGAACAGAUUUACGAUCUAAUUUAUAUUUCAUUUUACCUCCUGUUCUUAUUUACUCCUACUCCAACACUCCAGGUUGAUACGAACUGCGCCCAAUAAAGAAUGUAAUGAAUGUUAUAGAUUUGUGUAAGCGACUUAGAUAAAUCUUGACUAAACCUUCCUUUACAAAUACAAAUAUACUUUAUUGCACACAACAUACAAUACUUACAAGUUUUACACGAAAGAUACAGUACACCACCUACCUACCUUUUACUGUCCCUUUCUGUUCUCUUAUGAAUACUUGUAUGCCGUAUUUUUUUUAAGUAUAAUGCUAUAUCUAGUAGGUACGAGUAUGGUAAUCCUAGUAUUGAAACAGCUUGUAGCCCUAGUAAAGACCGCCAUUUUAUGUUUACAGAGUGGCACGUUUUUUCUGUAGGUAUUUCCAGUCCAUACU
RNAcentral lists this long non-coding RNA (995 nucleotides) under Pectinophora gossypiella (pink bollworm). Its description in RNAcentral is "uncharacterized LOC126368770". The record is from RNAcentral. Lineage: Eukaryota; Metazoa; Arthropoda; Insecta; Lepidoptera; Gelechiidae.